CCUACGGGCGGCAGCAGUGAGGAAUAUUGGUCAAUGGACGCAAGUCUGAACCAGCCAUGCCGCGUGCAGGAAGACGGCUCUAUGAGUUGUAAACUGCUUUUGUACGAGGGUAAACGCAGAUACGCGUAUCUGUCUGAAAGUAUCGUACGAAUAAGGAUCGGCUAACUCCGUGCCAGCAGCCGCGGUAAUACGGAGGAUUCAAGCGUUAUCCGGAUUUAUUGGGUUUAAAGGGUGCGUAGGCGGUCGGAUAAGUUAGAGGUGAAAUCCCGAGGCUCAACUUCGGAAUUGCCUCUGCUACUGGUAGGCUAGAGAGUAGGUGCGGUAUGCGGAAUGUAUGGUGUAGCGGUGAAAUGCUUAGAGAUCAUACAGAACACCGAUUGCGAAGGCAGCUUACCAAGCUACUUCUGACGUUGAGGCACGAAAGCGUGGGGAGCAAACAGGAUUAGAUACCCGGGUAGUC
Molecule: ribosomal RNA, 460 nt
Filed under: uncultured bacterium
Lineage: Bacteria
Description: partial 16S ribosomal RNA
Rfam family: Bacterial small subunit ribosomal RNA
Source: RNAcentral